CAAGGACUCUUCUCGUCCCGCCAGAGGAGGCGACCGAGGGGCCUGAGCUCAGAUCUGUGGUUUUUCUACUUGAAGGACACAAUGUUUUCCAAACUAGCACAUUUGCAGAGGUUUGCUGUACUUAGUCGCGGAGUUCAUUCUUCAGUGGCUUCUGCUACAUCUGUUGCAACUAAAAAAACAGUCCAAGGCCCUCCAACCUCUGAUGACAUUUUUGAAAGGGAAUAUAAGUAUGGUGCACACAACUACCAUCCUUUACCUGUAGCCCUGGAGAGAGGAAAAGGUAUUUACUUAUGGGAUGUAGAAGGCAGAAAAUAUUUUGACUUCCUGAGUUCUUACAGUGCUGUCAACCAAGGGCAUUGUCACCCCAAGAUUGUGAAUGCUCUGAAGAGUCAAGUGGACAAAUUGACCUUAACAUCUAGAGCUU
Molecule: long non-coding RNA, 424 nt
Filed under: Homo sapiens (human)
Lineage: Eukaryota; Metazoa; Chordata; Mammalia; Primates; Hominidae
Description: HSALNT0169516
Source: RNAcentral